This 586-nucleotide ribosomal RNA is filed under the name uncultured bacterium. RNAcentral's name for it is "partial 16S ribosomal RNA". It matches the Rfam family "Bacterial small subunit ribosomal RNA", at positions 355 to 937 of the family's 1533-position model. The record is from RNAcentral.
UGGGGAAUUUUGGACAAUGGGCGAAAGCCUGAUCCAGCAAUGCCGCGUGUGUGAAGAAGGCCUUCGGGUUGUAAAGCACUUUUGUCCGGAAAGAAAUCCUUGGCUCUAAUACAGUCGGGGGAUGACGGUACCGGAAGAAUAAGCACCGGCUAACUACGUGCCAGCAGCCGCGGUAAUACGUAGGGUGCAAGCGUUAAUCGGAAUUACUGGGCGUAAAGCGUGCGCAGGCGGUUUGCUAAGACCGAUGUGAAAUCCCCGGGCUCAACCUGGGAACUGCAUUGGUGACUGGCAGGCUAGAGUAUGGCAGAGGGGGGUAGAAUUCCACGUGUAGCAGUGAAAUGCGUAGAGAUGUGGAGGAAUACCGAUGGCGAAGGCAGCCCCCUGGGCCAAUACUGACGCUCAUGCACGAAAGCGUGGGGGAGCAAACAGGAUUAGAUACCCUGGUAGUCCACGCCCUAAAACGAUGUCAACUAGUUGUUGGGGAUUCAUUUCCUUAGUAACGUAGCUAACGCGUGAAGUUGACCGCCUGGGGAGUACGGUCGCAAGAUUAAAACUCAAAUGAAUUGACGGGGUCAUAGCUGUUUCC